AUGGCAUCAUUCAAUCCUGUUGAUUCAUUUGCUGCUUAUGAUCAAGAGAAGUUGGUCAAGCUUGCCCACUUUUAUCCUAAGGAUUUCUCAAAGACGGAAAUAUUGAAACUUCCUUAUGAAUUGUCAAUGUUUAUUGCUGAUAUGCGUAGAGAUGAAAGAUUUAGAAAGGUGAAGAAUAUUGCCCAACUUUCAGCCAAGCUUGUUGAGACAAAGAAGAACAUAUCAUAUGCCAUUGUUUACAAGCUUCUCAAGUUGGUCUUAAUUCUUCCGGUGGCGACUGCUAGUGUUGAGAGGGUCUUCUCUUCGAUGAAUUAUGUGAAGAAUAAGUUAAGAGCCAAAAUGGGGGAGCAAUAUUUGAAUGAUUGCUUGGUUACUUUUCUUGAGCGUAAAUUCUUCAUGCAAGUAAAGGAAGACACCAUCAUUUCUCGCUUACAAAAGGGUGAUCGUAGAGUUAAAUUUUGA
RNAcentral lists this ribosomal RNA (462 nucleotides) under Triticum aestivum (bread wheat). Its description in RNAcentral is "partial small subunit ribosomal RNA". The record is from RNAcentral. Lineage: Eukaryota; Viridiplantae; Streptophyta; Magnoliopsida; Poales; Poaceae.